AUCAAUAAAUUAAAAGAUUACUUCAUUAAACAAAUACGUGCUUAUAUGGAUGGCAAAGUUCCUACUGCAACAGUAGUUAAGGGAACAAGCGCAUCAAGUAAUACAAAAUCAACUGUAGCUGGUGCAUGGAAACGUAACAGUUAUGGUACAUGGUAUAUGAGCGAGAAGGCAGUAUUCACAAACGGUAACUCUCCAAUCGCAGUUCGUACUGUUGGUCCAUUUAGAAGUUGUCC
Molecule: non-coding RNA, 233 nt
Filed under: Staphylococcus nepalensis
Lineage: Bacteria; Bacillati; Bacillota; Bacilli; Caryophanales; Staphylococcaceae
Description: Staphylococcus sRNA 808
Rfam family: Staphylococcus sRNA 808
About the family: Other name: Srn9345. Highly expressed under all conditions tested. Northern blot transcript confirmed in exponentially growing and stationary cells in three cultivation media.
Source: RNAcentral